UGGCUGGAAUCUGUAAAUCUGUCAUUGCAGCCAUAUUCGUGUGGCUGGUACCGCAGGAUAUGAACUUCUGCUCGUCGUAUACGCCACCGUCGUACGAGACACUAGAUCUACACGCUUCUCUUCUUUUGAGAGCUUUGCACCGAAACGGAAACCUCUCCCUAUCUCUCGAAAUAACAAAUGUUCUUUUUGUUUUUCAUAAAAUUGACAAAACCCCUGGGAAAGUAUUUCCUUCUAUUCUCUUUAAGUAUUUCAAGAUCACAAAGAGAGAAUUUUAUAAUUAUAGUUAUUUCUUAUUCGUUAACGUAAGCUUAUUCGUCCCACUUAAUGUAUGAACUAAUCUUCAUUUUUGUCGAAAUAUUAUGAAGAAAGGCUUGAAAACCAAUGAAAGAACUAUGUAUCAAAAAAUUCAAUCAUUGUUCAUUCAUCUACACUAUUCAGGAGCUUUCAUCCUUUUUGUGUUCCAGUGGCUGGUUGAAAGUAAAGCGCAGUUCUUGUUGAAGGUUUAAAAACCGUUUGGUUAUAUCAAACUGCAUGGAAACUAUAAAAGCCCUGGCAGUCGUUGCACGUAUACGCAGUAUUCCCUCUGGUAGCUAGCGAUGACGGAUUCAUAGCCCGUGGGAUAACGCAAGACCUCACCCCAAGAUGUUUCGGUUUACGGAUGCACGCUCUUCCUUGCUUUUUCUUCCUAUUUCUCGCCUUUUUUUCUUCUAUCUACUGAGCGAUUCAUUUGUCGGUCUUUGAUCCGAGACCAACAAGCUACUACCGGAAAAUUAGCGAAAUUUAUUAAGCAGUCGCUUUCUCUAGACUGCUAUCUGUCAUUUUAUUCUCCUUAUUUCUAGCGCAACCUGUCGUUUCAUCUUAUACGGGAUAUCAUUCAGUGGAUAGAAUCUUUGUUCAAAGAUACCGUAUUUGGGUGGUCGAAGGAUAAGUGACAAAUUCCAGAUGCUUCGUUGGGAGUCUUUUCUUCCUUUUUUUAAGAUAGAACGCAAAAUUUAUAUAGAUUCAUGAAUAUUACAACGUUGAAGUAAUUAUUAUUUUACAGAUAUUUCUGUUCGAUCCUCCACUUUCUAUCUUCUAUGAUUAUUUAUUAAAAAAAUCUUUGUUUUUUUUUAGACAUAUUCAUAGCUAUACUUAUUAACCGAUGAAUUAUCAUUAUAACGUCGCCGGUGUCCCGCUUAUCGAGAAAGGCGUCCUUUUAAGUUUCUGAAAGGUAGAUCUUCGAGAACAGCUGGUUCUCGCGAACAGCGGUGCCACCAGCAGCGCAAUGUCAACUAACCCCGUCAAGGGUUAGGGGUUAACUUCCACAGGACUAGUACCUACGAGGAAGAUGAAAGAAUGAGCGAAGAUAGGCCGACGGCCGCCCCUUUUUAUUACCGGCGCCGUCACGCGUCACCGAUAAGCGCGGUCUCUCUGUAGACGAAAAGUCUAUGCUUGCACCGGUUCUCUCGAAACAUGAGAUUUCAUCUUCCCUUCUUUACUUCUGCUUUUGCCAUCUCCAGUUGAGAGAAAGUUUCAUUUUUUAUGGACAUGUGUCGAAAAUCUUGGAACACGAUCUGCUUCUUUUCAACAAGGAGUAAUAGAAACGUGUUAAGAAUGUAACAACUGGCUGAUCAUCUGUUUCUUGAUGUUUUACUCUGGCUAGAAAGGAGCAUUGGGUUAAAAAUCAAAGAAAGAAACUGCAAAGGUUUCUGCUCUUAUUUUUAUUCAUUGCGGAAACAUGUGCGGGUCAUGAAUGACUGCAAAACGUUUUGUGAAUGCAUGAGGGAAGAUGUUCACCGAGAGUCAUUAAGGAUACGGUAUAUAAUAUGUUUACACAACGAGGUUCUUCGCGUCGCCAUCAAUCAUGGUGCACGUCGGUCCAUCCGUUUUUCUACGCUUAGGAACCGACAGACUGAGACGCUCAAAUUCUAUGCUACUUCGCCUUGUUGGCAUUAGAUUGUCAUUUCUAACAGUCCCGAUGUCAAGUCGUGUACAUACUACGUUUAUGUGAACGUCUGGUAAAACAAUUCGAGCAAACAUUUGAAAACUUCUUUGACAAAUUUUGAAAAGAGCAGUUCGAGAAAAAAUGUUCACUUAUAUACGCGUCAUUCGACCACAAGGAAAUCACGGGAAAAGGAAUUCGUAAGAGGUUGUGAAAUGGUUAACUUUAAACUCAAGUACUUGGCUUUAGAUUCUCGUUUACUUUAUAGAGUUUCCAUUUUUUCGAAUACGUUGUGUAACAUAAGAAGGCAAGAAAGUUUCGAAACACAAUGGUACACGAUACUUGGAGAAUAAUUUAUUAAGGCACUUAGUAGCCAAGCUCUCUCAUGGGUUGUCACGGUGCGUUUACUUUCCCGUCUUGGCUCGAGAGCGUUUUAGGCUCGUUUGGCAUUUCAGACACCCUGUAUAAAUAGAUGCACUUUGCUCCUACAAAAGGCACUUUCUUUCUCAACCAGUCCGCUACGGACCUACGACACCACCGAUUUGUAUCACGCGAUUUGAUCAUCGUGAACACCAAUGGAUCUUUAAUUUUCUCUCUUGUACUUUUGCAAGAUCCUCUAGUAAAUCAUUAUUUUAAUUUUCACCGAAACUUUCAUGAAUUCCCAAGAAAAUAGAGAUCCGAAUUACCGUGGCCCAUACAAUGAGGGUCCAGUAUGGGGAUGAUGAGGAUGCGCAGGAUAGUGGACCGAAUUCAUGUGUGCAGUUGGUUGUCCAUGGUGUCCAGGGUAAGUCCAAGGUCCUGCUGCGGUCGCACCGUAAAAUUGAUGAUGUUCUUGGCUCGAUAUGCUUGGAAUUUGUACGGUCUCUUUGCAGGAUUCUGCAUACUUGAAACUGCGACAGAGUCACACUCAUCCGAUUCACAGUCACGAAAACCUUUCGCAAAUGGAUUGCUAGCAAUUUUGAGUUGCGUGAUACGAUGAUUUUGAUAAGCUGUGAC
Long non-coding RNA from Bombus impatiens (common eastern bumble bee), 2917 nucleotides. RefSeq lists it as uncharacterized. The record is from RefSeq and is a predicted model, not a curated record. NCBI's taxonomy places the organism in Eukaryota, Metazoa, Arthropoda, Insecta, Hymenoptera, Apidae. The transcript is spliced from 4 exons.